GUUUUGGUAGUUUAAAUAAAAACUUUGGUCUUGUAAACCAAAAAUGAAUUUUUUCUCAAAACA
This 63-nucleotide transfer RNA is filed under the name Somanniathelphusa boyangensis. RNAcentral describes it as "tRNA-Thr". It matches the Rfam family "tRNA". From Rfam's summary of the family: Transfer RNA (tRNA) molecules are approximately 80 nucleotides in length. Their secondary structure includes four short double-helical elements and three loops (D, anti-codon, and T loops). Further hydrogen bonds mediate the characteristic L-shaped molecular structure. tRNAs have two regions of fundamental functional importance: the anti-codon, which is responsible for specific mRNA codon recognition, and the 3' end, to which the tRNAs corresponding amino acid is attached (by aminoacyl-tRNA synthetases). tRNAs cope with the degeneracy of the genetic code in two manners: having more than one tRNA (with a specific anti-codon) for a particular amino acid; and 'wobble' base-pairing, i.e. permitting non-standard base-pairing at the 3rd anti-codon position. Lineage: Eukaryota; Metazoa; Arthropoda; Malacostraca; Decapoda; Parathelphusidae. The record is from RNAcentral. RNAcentral also lists the same sequence under 1 other name.